This 462-nucleotide ribosomal RNA is filed under the name uncultured bacterium. Its description in RNAcentral is "partial 16S ribosomal RNA". It matches the Rfam family "Bacterial small subunit ribosomal RNA", at positions 28 to 505 of the family's 1533-position model. The record is from RNAcentral.
GACGAACGCUGGCGGCGUGCUUAACACAUGCAAGUCGAACGGAAAGGCCCCUUUGGGGGUACUCGAGUGGCGAACGGGUGAGUAACACGUGAGUAACCUGCCCUUGACUUCGGGAUAACUUCAGGAAACUGGGGCUAAUACCGGAUAGGAAUCCUUGCUGCAUGGUGGGGGUUGGAAAGCUUCGGCGGUUUUGGAUGGACUCGCGGCUUAUCAGCUUGUUGGUGGGGUAGUGGCUUACCAAGGCUUUGACGGGUAGCCGGCCUGAGAGGGCGACCGGCCACAUUGGGACUGAGAUACGGCACAGACUCCUACGGGAGGCAGCAGUGGGGAAUAUUGCACAAUGGGCGGAAGCCUGAUGCAGCAACGCCGCGUGCGGGAUGACGGCCUUCGGGUUGUAAACCGCUUUCAGCAGGGGCGAAGCUUUUGUGACGGUACCUGCAGAAGAAGCACCGGCUAACUACG